UUCGAUUCUGGCUCAGGAUGAACGCUAGCGACAGGCUAACACAUGCAAGUCGAGGGGCAUCACGGGAGUAGCAAUACAACUGGUGGCGACCGGCGCACGGGUGAGUAACGCGUAUGCGACCUACCUAUCAGAGGGGAAUAACCCGGCGAAAGUCGGACUAAUACCGCAUAAAACAGGGGCACCGCAUGGUGAUAUUUGUUAAAGAAAUUCGCUGAUAGAUGGGCAUGCGUUCCAUUAGGUAGUUGGUGAGGUAACGGCUCACCAAGCCGACGAUGGAUAGGGAACUGAGAGGUUGGUCCCCCACACUGGUACUGAGACACGGACCAGACUCCUACGGGAGGCAGCAGUGAGGAAUAUUGGUCAAUGGGCGGGAGCCUGAACCAGCCAAGUCGCGUGAAGGAAGAAGGAUCUAUGGUUCGUAAACUUCUUUUGCAGGGGAAUAAAGUGCAGGACGUGUCCUGUUUUGUAUGUACCCUGAGAAUAAGGAUCGGCUAACUCCGUGCCAGCAGCAGC
Molecule: ribosomal RNA, 513 nt
Filed under: uncultured bacterium
Lineage: Bacteria
Description: bacterial SSU rRNA
Rfam family: Bacterial small subunit ribosomal RNA
Source: RNAcentral